UAUCCUGUGUAUUUUGCUUUUGAGGAUGAUAAUAUCAAUGCUGUACUAGCUGAAGUCAAGAGAAAUGAUGCUAGUGGUCAACCUGCAACUGCUACAACAGGCGGAUACAAGCUUGUUGUUGCUGCCUCAGAUCCUAAGAAAAUUGCAUCUCCCACCAUUACAAAUAUUCAGGGAUGGUUACCCGGGCUUAAACCUGAUGGAGACUCAAGUCAACUCCCUACUAUUGCCAUAGUGGCUUCGUAUGACACGUUUGGGGCUGCACCGGCAUUGUCAGUUGGAAGUGAUAGCAAUGGAAGUGGUGUUGUGGCACUUCUUGAGAUAGCUAGGCUGUUUUCUGUUCUGUAUUCAAAUCCUAAAACAAGGGGUAGAUAUAACUUACUUUUUGGAUUGACGUCUGGUGGGCCUUAUAACUUCAACGGAACUCAGAAGUGGCUUCGAAGUUUUGACCAACGCCUACGGGAGAGUAUCGACUAUGCCAUUUGCUUGAAUAGUCUUGGCUGGAGAAACCCUGAAAUAUUUGUUGUAUGUAUGUGUUUUCAGGAGGUUUAGAAA
Molecule: unclassified non-coding RNA, 552 nt
Filed under: Hevea brasiliensis (rubber tree)
Lineage: Eukaryota; Viridiplantae; Streptophyta; Magnoliopsida; Malpighiales; Euphorbiaceae
Source: RNAcentral